GCUUCUCUAGCUCAGUUGGUAGAGCAACGCACCCGUAAUGCGUAGGUCGUGGGUUCGAAUCCCAUGGGGAGCU
Molecule: transfer RNA, 73 nt
Filed under: Clostridiales bacterium
Lineage: Bacteria; Bacillati; Bacillota; Clostridia; Eubacteriales
Description: tRNA-Thr
Rfam family: tRNA
About the family: Transfer RNA (tRNA) molecules are approximately 80 nucleotides in length.
Source: RNAcentral